UUAUGGAACCAUCUAGGAUUGUACAGUUGCAUGCAAAAGUAUUCUUGAUAUUUUUCUAUAAAAUAACAACUGAGUGAACCACCAUCACCAGAUGUAAGAUGUGAAACUGUAAUGUUUUCACUGACUGCUGCUUAUACCGUAACACCCUUUACAGAGCCCUGGCGGGAGAAUCCAUAUCCCAUUUUAAGCAUCACCACUGCAGACAAAGAAGUUUGGUAGAUGUUUGCCCACAAUUAGAUGAUGGGACCACAUGCCCAGCAUGUCCAAAGGCGGAUGGAGAUAUGAUAGUGACAUUGGAUGCCAACUUUGGCCUUGUGAUGAAGCAAAGCUCAGGGACAAGUGUAGUUGAGCCAUUACAUGGAACCCGCAUAUUUGUUGAUGAAAAGGAUGUAGAGGAGUACCUGCUAUCACAUCUUGACAGCUCAAAGCCACACGAAGACUGCAGUGACUUUAAGGCUGGCAAUGUGUUGAGGUCACAACAACAAGCAAAGACGUAACAGGAGUGUUUGGAGCAUCCUGUCGUCAUGAAAUGCCCCUAAUGUUUGUCAACAUGAGCCAAGGAGAAUUAUUUUUAUACAAAUAUAAUUAUUUUUAACUUUUCCUCAGUAUAAAGUGUUUUAUCAUUCACAUUUUUGUGUUGGAAUAGAUUAGCCUAUCCCCUGUAUGUCACCGAUGCGUUACUUCAAAGAUGUAAGGACAAGAACAUACACCUGCGAGUAGUCUAUGACAUUGCCUGUGUUGUUGCCUCACAUUUGCAGAAAUCAGGGGAGGGCAUACCACACAACAUCUCCUUGGCCAUACCAGCAUUUCAUGUUUAUGGACACAAAUUGCCCUGCCAGGUAAUUCAUUGACUUCAUAGGGACAUCAGGACAUGUUACACACACAAUUCACUCCUUGUUUGGCCUCCAUUUUUCCUGUCUAUCCACUGCAAAGCUGAAAUGAGCUAGAAAUGCCUAAAAAUAAU
Long non-coding RNA from Tachysurus fulvidraco (yellow catfish), 964 nucleotides. RefSeq lists it as uncharacterized. The record is from RefSeq and is a predicted model, not a curated record. The transcript is spliced from 4 exons. NCBI's taxonomy places the organism in Eukaryota, Metazoa, Chordata, Actinopteri, Siluriformes, Bagridae.